RNAcentral lists this small RNA (6369 nucleotides) under Pan troglodytes (chimpanzee). Its description in RNAcentral is "retained intron". Lineage: Eukaryota; Metazoa; Chordata; Mammalia; Primates; Hominidae. The record is from RNAcentral.
GAAGGUUCUAGAAAAGCGGCGGCAGCGGCUCUAGCGGCAGUAGCAGCAGCGCCGGGUCCCGUGCGGAGGUGCUCCUCGCAGAGUUGUUUCUCGAGCAGCGGCAGUUCUCACUACAGCGCCAGGACGAGUCCGGUUCGUGUUCGUCCGCGGAGAUCUCUCUCAUCUCGCUCGGCUGCGGGAAAUCGGGCUGAAGCGACUGAGUCCGCGAUGGAGGUAACGGGUUUGAAAUCAAUGAGUUAUUGAAAAGGGCAUGGCGAGGCCGUUGGCGCCUCAGUGGAAGUCGGCCAGCCGCCUCCGUGGGAGAGAGGCAGGAAAUCCGACCGCUUCAGUAGCAGUGGGGCUUAAGGUUUACGAACGGGGUCUUGAGCGGAGGCCUGAGCGUACAAACAGCUUCCCCACCCUCAGCCUCCCGGCGCCAUUUCCCUUCACUGGGGGUGGGGGAUGGGGAGCUUUCACAUGGCGGACGCUGCCCCGCUGGAGUGAAAGUGGGGCGCGGAGGCGGGAAUUCUUAUUCCCUUUCUAAAGCACGCUGCUUCGGGGGCCACGGCGUCUCCUCGGCGAGCGUUUCGGCGGGCAGCGGGUCCUCGUGAGCGAGGCUGCGGAGCUUCCCCUCCCCCUCUUUCCCGGGAACCGGAUUUGGCGGCCGCCAUUUUCAUGGCUCGCCUUCCUCUCAGCGUUUCUCUUAUAACUCUCUUAUUUCCUUAGUGUGCUUUCUCUAUCAAGAAAUAGAAGCGGUUAACUAUUUUUCUUUCUUCUCGGGCUGUUUUCAUAUCGUUUCGAGGUGGAUUUGGAGUGUUUUGUGAGCUUGGAUCUUUAGAGUCCUGCGCACCUCAUUAAAGGCGCUCAGCCUUCCCCUCGAUGAAAUGGCGCCAUUGCGUUCGGAAGCCACACCGAAGAGCGGGGAGGGGGGGUGCUCCGGGUUUGCGGGCCCGGUUUCAGAGAAGAUCUCACCACCCAGGGCGUCGGGCCGGGUUCAAUGCGAGCCAUAGGACAAAGAAACCAUUUUAUGUUUUUCCUGUCUUUUUUUUCUUUGAGUAACGGUUUUAUCUGGGUCUGCAGUCGGUAAAACGGCAGAUGAACCGCAGCAAAAUAAACAUAAAUUGGAAGCCAUCGGCCACGAGGGGCAGGGACGAAGGUGGUUUUCUGGGCGGGGGAGGGAUAUUCGCGUCAGAAUCCUUUACUGUUCUCAAGGAUUCCGUUUAAGUUGUAGAGCUGACUCAUUUUAAGUAAUGUUGUUACUGAGAAGUUUAAUCCUUACGGGACAGAUCCAUGGACCUUUAUAGAUAAUUAGAUGAUUACGAGGAAAGUGAAAUAACGAUUUUGUCCUUAGUUAUACUUCGAUUAAAACAUGGCUUCAGAGGCUCCUUCCUGUAAUGCGUAUGGAUUGAUGUGCAAAACUGUUUUGGGCCUGGGCCGCUCUGUAUUUGAACUUUGUUACUUUUCUCAUUUUGUUUGCAAUCUUGGUUGAACAUUACAUUGAUAAGCGUAAGGUCUCAAGCGAAGGGGGUCUACCUGGUUAUUUUCUUUGACCCUAAGCACGUUUAUAAAAUAACAUUGUUUAAAAUCGAUAGUGGACAUCGGGUAAGUUUGGAUAAAUUGUGAGGUAAGUAAUGAGUUUUUGCUUUUUGUUAGUGAUUUGUAAGACUUGUUAUAAAUGUACAUUAUCCGUAAUUUCAGUUUAGAGACACCUAUGUGCUGACAAUUAAGAAUAAAAACUAGCUGAAAAAAUGAAAAUACCUGUCGUGACAAGUAACCAUUUCAAAAGACUGCUUUGUGUCUCACAGGAGCUAGUUUGAUCAUUUCAGUUAAUUUUUUCUUUAAUUUUUACGAGUCAUGAAAACUACAGGAAAAAAAUCUGAACUGGCUUUUACCACUACUUUUUAGGAGUUGGGAGCAUGCGAAUGGAGGGAGAGCUCCGUAGAACUGGGAUGAGAGCAGCAAUUAAUGCUGCUUGCUAGGAACAAAAAAUAAUUGAAAAUUACGUGUGACUUUUUAGUUUGCAUUAUGCGUUUGUAGCAGUUGGUCCUGGAUAUCACUUCCUCUCGUUUGAGGUUUUUUAACCUAGUUAACUUUUAAGACAGGUUUCCUUAACAUUCUUAAGUGCCCAAAAUACAGCUGUGUAGUACAGCAUAUAAAGAUUUCAGCUCUGAGGUUUUUCCUAUUGACUUGGAAAAUUGUUUUGUGCCUGUCGCUUGCCACAUGGCCAAUCAAGUAAGCUUCAGCUUUCAGUAAUUAUUAUCUUAGAGAUUAUGCCACGUGAAUAUUUUAUUGUACAUAUGGUUAAGCUGAGUAAUUCAUAUUCUGUAUUGUCAUAUAUCAAAUAUAGACAUGUCCACCAAAAAUUAGUUAAACUUUUUAAGCUUCGAGUGCUGCUGGUCAUAAAAAUUAAUUUGUCCUGGUUAUAAGAGUAAUUUUUAAGGUUAUUUCUAAUGCAUAUCUUUAAAUACUUUCGUAACUGAGAGUCAUAUGGAGAAACUUAGUGUUUGUUGUAAAAAGUUUUGUUUUUUUGGCUGAGAUACUUAGAAUCACCACCAGAGGGGGCAGUUAAGGGAAAAUAAAUGAUACUUUUCAGAUACUGAAUCGUGAAAUAAAAACUUUGGGUCAUAAGUAACGAACCAAGAGUUAUUUUCUGAUGUUUAAAAAUAGAAAUCUGCGUUUUUAGGUUGUAGGGUUGAAAUUUUUGGUAAAGAUUCUUUAAUAAUCCUUUGAUAAUCACGGUCUACAUUUGUUUAUUUUUCCUUAGAAAGUUUUUUUUUAAUUAAUAAUUUGGUUAAGAUAAUUUAAUGUUGAGUAAAUUUAGAUCAAGCAUUAAUGACUUUGAAACUUGUGUAGAUCAGCUGAGGCAAUUUUUUUGGUGUAACACAACUAAUAUGCAGUUUAACAUAUGGUUUAAAUUUGAUGUAAGUUUUUUUUUUCCCCCCCAGAAAACUUUAGAAACUGUUCCUUUGGAGAGGAAAAAGGUACUCUGCCAGCAGGUCACCUCAUAUUUAAGAAUUUAAUUUCCUGCAUACAAAGAGGAAAAUGUAAAUAAAAAUUGAAAUGGUAUUUUCCUUUGCAGAGAGAAAAGGAACAGUUCCGUAAGCUCUUUAUUGGUGGCUUAAGCUUUGAAACCACAGAAGAAAGUUUGAGGAACUACUACGAACAAUGGGGAAAGCUUACAGACUGUGUGGUAAUGAGGGAUCCUGCAAGCAAAAGAUCAAGAGGAUUUGGUUUUGUAACUUUUUCAUCCAUGGCUGAGGUUGAUGCUGCCAUGGCUGCAAGACCUCAUUCAAUUGAUGGGAGAGUAGUUGAGCCAAAACGUGCUGUAGCAAGAGAGGAAUCUGGAAAACCAGGGGCUCAUGUAACUGUGAAGAAGCUGUUUGUUGGCGGAAUUAAAGAAGAUACUGAGGAACAUCACCUUAGAGAUUACUUUGAGGAAUAUGGAAAAAUUGAUACCAUUGAGAUAAUUACUGAUAGGCAGUCUGGAAAGAAAAGAGGCUUUGGCUUUGUUACUUUUGAUGACCAUGAUCCUGUGGAUAAAAUCGUAUUGCAGAAAUACCAUACCAUCAAUGGUCAUAAUGCAGAAGUAAGAAAGGCUUUGUCUAGACAAGAAAUGCAGGAAGUUCAGAGUUCUAGGAGUGGAAGAGGAGGUAAUUUUAAUUCUGUUUCUUCUUUAUUUUUGUUCAUAUAUAAGGGCUUGCUUCUAACUGGGGCAUUUAUUGUAGGCAACUUCGGCUUUGGGGAUUCACGUGGUGGCGGUGGAAAUUUCGGACCAGGACCAGGAAGUAACUUUAGAGGAGGAUCUGAUGGAUAUGGCAGUGGACGUGGAUUUGGGGAUGGCUAUAAUGGGUAUGGAGGAGGACCUGGAGGUGGCAAUUUUGGAGGUAGCCCCGGUUAUGGAGGAGGAAGAGGAGGAUAUGGUGGUGGAGGACCUGGAUAUGGCAACCAGGGUGGGGGCUACGGAGGUGGUUAUGACAACUAUGGAGGAGGAAAUUAUGGAAGUGGAAAUUACAAUGAUUUUGGAAAUUAUAACCAGCAACCUUCUAACUACGGUCCAAUGAAGAGUGGAAACUUUGGUGGUAGCAGGAACAUGGGGGGACCAUAUGGUGGAGGAAACUAUGGUCCAGGAGGCAGUGGAGGAAGUGGGGGUUAUGGUGGGAGGAGCCGAUACUGAGCUUCUUCCUAUUUGCCAUGGGUAAGUAGCUUUUGAGUUUUACAAUUAUUAUUAUCUUGGGAGACAUAGCUGCAGGAGUAAAAGCUUUUUAGGAUCAUGUUAUCUUUCCUUAAAAUCUGGUUAGAUGGAUAAUUUCAUAACCUAUUUUUUUUUUACUCUUUACUUCUGUUGAAACAGGCUUCACUGUAUAAAUAGGAGAGGAUGAGAGCCCAGAGGUAACAGAACAGCUUCAGGUUAUCGAAAUAACAAUGUUAAGGAAACUCUUAUCUCAGUCAUGCAUAAAUAUGCAGUGAUAUGGCAGAAGACACCAGAGCAGAUGCAGAGAGCCAUUUUGUGAAUGGAUUGGAUUAUUUAAUAACAUUACCUUACUGUGGAGGAAGGAUUGUAAAAAAAAAAAUGCCUUUGAGACAGUUUCUUAGCUUUUUAAUUGUUGUUUCUUUCUAGUGGUCUUUGUAAGAGUGUAGAAGCAUUCCUUCUUUGAUAAUGUUAAAUUUGUAAGUUUCAGGUGACAUGUGAAACCUUUUUUAAGAUUUUUCUCAAAGUUUUGAAAAGCUAUUAGCCAGGAUCAUGGUGUAAUAAGACAUAACGUUUUUCCUUUAAAAAAUUUAAGUGCGUGUGUAGAGUUAAGAAGCUGUUGUACAUUUAUGAUUUAAUAAAAUAAUUCUAAAGGAAAUUGUGUAAUUAUAGACUUUUUAUUUUAAAUAAGUUAAGGAGUGGGUAGUAUAAUUAAGGUCCGUUGCAAAGCUGUUGUUAUAUUUGUAUAAGAUAAAUGCUGGUCAGAUGUAAGUGUGUUGUCUGCAAUUCAUCAGGAUUAAAUUAUGUAGAUAACUUAAGGGAUAUCUCUGCAAGGAGAAACACCUUUUUAGAUCUUUUAGAUGCUGCUUCUUCAAUGCAAGGAAAGGAAAUAACCCCAGCGAGGUACUCUUCAGGGACACAGGUCUAGUACAAGAGAACUCUUGACGGCUACUAAGUUCAGCCAGUCUUAAAAAACUGUGCUGUUUCUACAAAACUUUAACUACAGUAGUUUAUAAGGAUGCCAACGAAAGCUGAGGGUGUAGAGCAAAAUAGUUCUAAGCUUCAGUUAAACUUCUUUAGGUAAGAUCUUAUUUACUUUUCCUUUCUUAAUUUUCCUCCCUAAAAGAUAAACUAAUACUCUUAAAUGGUCUUUCAGUAUAGUGGUUCUUACGUAGUUUAACAUAGCUAUAAAUUGAGUUUAACAAUUUAUAAACUCAAGAGAAUAAUUUUUAUAAACCCUGUUUUCCAAUCUGUCAUUUACUUAAAUUAUUUUGGUUGUUUUUCCCCUUUUUUCCUUCUUUUCCCACCCCCUCCCCCUCCGUGUGAAGAUUUGGGUGCUUAACAUAUCAUUUUUUUCCCUGCCGGAAUUUUAGCAUUGAUAUGAACCAUGGACAAGUAUAUUCUGCUGCCACAAAGACUGUAAAGUGCUUCAUUUCAACAGCUGAGGCAAGCCAAGUGAUCAUUAAUAAAGCUUUUCUUGGUUCCUUCAGUGGUGUUGGUAGUAAAAUGGUAGGUAAAAGUUAGGCUGCAAGUUCAAUAAAUCAUGAGAUUUCCCAUCGUUACACCCUUGUGUAUUCACAUUUCUUGGAUCAAACAUUUUGAGUGAACUAGGGGUUUUUAUUAAAGACAUUUGUUGUUGUAUUUAUGGUUGUAACUGUACAUGCUUAUCAGGAUGAGACUGAAAGAAGGUAGGGCAAAAAUGGUUGAAUCUAUUUUCAGAUAGUAGUUCAUACUUGAGUGAAGUGUCUUGUCUACAUUAUGAAGCCUGGUAUGUAUCCAGUACUAAAUAGGUGGGUUAAAUGUGGUAAUUCUAGUUCAGUGUCUUACCCUGAAGAGAAAGUUGUAGGUUGGCUGUUGAAAUUCAUUCCUUAGAUAUGAUGAGUUUGAUUGCCCGGCUUUAUUGCCUUUACAGGAAUGUGAUACUCAGGGCUUACUCUAUACACCAAUGAGUCUUCUUUGAUCCUAAGACCACCACUGAAGUUGUUUAGGUUCUUUUGGACAAACAUGAUAAACUUCUUCAGAUACUUUUUUUUUCCUUUGGCAGGAAGGUGUCUUGCUGCAGGUAACUAAUGAAGAAGUGGUCAACCACAGAGUCUUCAAGAAAUAAGAAAUUCUGUACCAUCUGAAAGUAGUUCUUGUUGGUGCCUUCAUUUAAAAAGCACUCUUUAAAAUAAAAGGGAAAUGUUUUCUGAUAAAACAAA